GGAAAUGUUUUUUUUUUUUUUUAGUGGUAGCCAGAGUUCGAACCCCGGAUCUUACAUAUUUUAUGCAUUGUUCAUACCAACUGAGCUAAACUCACGAGAACAAACAUUGAAAAUGUUUGUAAGCCCUAACUCAACUAAAAAUGUAAUAAUGUUCAUAAUAAUGUUUUUACUUUUAUAAUUUAUUUUAAAAUUUGUUUAUUAUUCUAUGGAUGAAACAUGUAUUAUUAUUUUUAUUAUUAUUAUUAAUUAUAUGCACCUAGUUUUACUACGAAUAUAAAAGAUAUCACAAGAAAGAAUGUCACAAAAAAUAAUAAUAAAAUACUUUAAUCCAUAAAUGCAAUAUAUGAUUAUUUGGAUUAAUUUUUUAUUCUGAUUCUGCAUUUACUAUGAUUUUAGAAAAACAUUGGAAAUGUUUUUUUUUUUUUUAGUGGUAGCCAGGGUUCGAACCCCGGAUCUUACAUAUUUUAUGCAUUGUCCAUACCAACUAAGUUAAACUCACGAGGACAAACAUUAAAAAUGUUUGUAAGGCCUAACUCAACUAAAAAUGUUGAGAUUGUUAGAAAGAAUAUUUUUCUUGGUUAUUCAGGUUUGAACUCGUAAUAUCCCUUUAUGCUUUUCAAAUUAUGUCUGUCAUCUCAUCUACAGACCAAAAAAAUCAUUGAAAGAGUUAAACUUAAGUUUUUAUGUUGUACCAAAAAUAAAUCUUAUGCUUUUAUGUCAUAAAUUCAUACAAAUAAUUUAUUAUAGACAUUAAAACCAUAACAAUCCACAUACGAUGCAUGUAAUGUAUAUCUUUAAUAGAUUUAUAAUAUAUAAAAUUUAUGACAUGUGUCUCUUUUUCCACCCUUUGG
RNAcentral lists this long non-coding RNA (851 nucleotides) under Medicago truncatula (barrel medic). RNAcentral's name for it is "long non-coding RNA (MTRU_LNC006339)". Lineage: Eukaryota; Viridiplantae; Streptophyta; Magnoliopsida; Fabales; Fabaceae. The record is from RNAcentral.